ACCACCAGGAGUGGAGCCGCGGCUUAAUUUGACUCAACACGGGGAAACUCACCCGGCCCGGACACCGUAAGGAUUGACAGAUUGAGAGCUCUUUCUUGAUUCGGUGGGUGGUGGUGCAUGGCCGUUCUUAGUUGGUGGAGCGAUUUGUCUGGUUAAUUCCGAUAACGAACGAGACUCUAGCCUAUUAAAUAGUCCACCGCCGGUGAAUCGUAGCGGUGUUAAUGCGUACUUCUUAGAGGGACUAGCGGCGCUCAGCCGCACGAGAUUGAGCAAUAACAGGUCUGUGAUGCCCUUAGAUGUUCGGGGCCGCACGCGCGCUACACUGAAGGUGUCAAAGGGUCGAGUCCUCGCCUGACAAGGUCGGGCAACCCGUGCAGAAACGCUUUCGUGCUAGGGACUGGGGCUUGAAAUUCUUGCCCACGAACGAGGAAUUCCCAGUAAGCGUGAGUCAUCAGCUCACGUUGAUUACGUCCCUGCCCUUUGUACACACCGCCCGUCGCUACUACCGAUUGAACGGUUUAGUGAGGCCCUCGGACGUGCCCCGGGCUGGCAGUCUCUGUCAGCCGCAGGCUGAGCGCGAAAGAUGGUCGAACUUGAUCAUUUAGAGGAAGUAAAAGUCGUAACAAGGUUUCCGUA
This 636-nucleotide ribosomal RNA is filed under the name Syllis gracilis complex lineage 3 PAC-2017. RNAcentral describes it as "bacterial SSU rRNA". It matches the Rfam family "Eukaryotic small subunit ribosomal RNA", at positions 1166 to 1807 of the family's 1831-position model. Lineage: Eukaryota; Metazoa; Annelida; Polychaeta; Phyllodocida; Syllidae. The record is from RNAcentral.